UUAAUUUGAGAGUUUGAUCCUGGCUCAGGACGAACGCUGGCGGCGUGCCUAAUACAUGCAAGUCGAACGAACUCUGGUAUUGAUUGGUGCUUGCAUCAUGAUUUACAUUUGAGCGAGUGGCGAACUGGUGAGUAACACGUGGGAAACCUGCCCAGAAGCGGGGGAUAACACCUGGAAACAGAUGCUAAUACCGCAUAACAACUUGGACCGCAUGGUCCGAGUUUGAAAGAUGGCUUCGGCUAUCACUUUUGGAUGGUCCCGCGGCGUAUUAGCUAGAUGGUGGGGUAACGGCUCACCAUGGCAAUGAUACGUAGCCGACCUGAGAGGGUAAUCGGCCACAUUGGGACUGAGACACGGCCCAAACUCCUACGGGAGGCAGCAGUAGGGAAUCUUCCACAAUGGACGAAAGUCUGAUGGAGCAACGCCGCGUGAGUGAAGAAGGGUUUCGGCUCGUAAAACUCUGUUGUUAAAGAAGAACAUAUCUGAGAGUAACUGUUCAGGUAUUGACGGUAUUUAACCAGAAAGCCACGGCUAACUACGUGCCAGCAGCCGCGGUAAUACGUAGGUGGCAAGCGUUGUCCGGAUUUAUUGGGCGUAAAGCGAGCGCAGGCGGUUUUUUAAGUCUGAUGUGAAAGCCUUCGGCUCAACCGAAGAAGUGCAUCGGAAACUGGGAAACUUGAGUGCAGAAGAGGACAGUGGAACUCCAUGUGUAGCGGUGAAAUGCGUAGAUAUAUGGAAGAACACCAGUGGCGAAGGCGGCUGUCUGGUCUGUAACUGACGCUGAGGCUCGAAAGUAUGGGUAGCAAACAGGAUUAGAUACCCUGGUAGUCCAUACCGUAAACGAUGAAUGCUAAGUGUUGGAGGGUUUCCGCCCUUCAGUGCUGCAGCUAACGCAUUAAGCAUUCCGCCUGGGGAGUACGGCCGCAAGGCUGAAACUCAAAGGAAUUGACGGGGGCCCGCACAAGCGGUGGAGCAUGUGGUUUAAUUCGAAGCUACGCGAAGAACCUUACCAGGUCUUGACAUACUAUGCAAAUCUAAGAGAUUAGACGUUCCCUUCGGGGACAUGGAUACAGGUGGUGCAUGGUUGUCGUCAGCUCGUGUCGUGAGAUGUUGGGUUAAGUCCCGCAACGAGCGCAACCCUUAUUAUCAGUUGCCAGCAUUAAGUUGGGCACUCUGGUGAGACUGCCGGUGACAAACCGGAGGAAGGUGGGGAUGACGUCAAAUCAUCAUGCCCCUUAUGACCUGGGCUACACACGUGCUACAAUGGAUGGUACAACGAGUUGCGAACUCGCGAGAGUAAGCUAAUCUCUUAAAGCCAUUCUCAGUUCGGAUUGUAGGCUGCAACUCGCCUACAUGAAGUCGGAAUCGCUAGUAAUCGCGGAUCAGCAUGCCGCGGUGAAUACGUUCCCGGGCCUUGUACACACCGCCCGUCACACCAUGAGAGUUUGUAACACCCAAAGUCGGUGGGGUAACCUUUUAGGAACCAGCCGCCUAAGGUGGGACAGAUGAUUAGGGUGAAGUCGUAACAAGGUAGCCGUAGGAGAACCUGCGGCUGGAUCACCUCCUUUCUAAGGAA
Molecule: ribosomal RNA, 1576 nt
Filed under: Lactiplantibacillus plantarum
Lineage: Bacteria; Bacillati; Bacillota; Bacilli; Lactobacillales; Lactobacillaceae
Description: Lactobacillus plantarum 16S ribosomal RNA
Rfam family: Bacterial small subunit ribosomal RNA
Source: RNAcentral